AUUUUUUCUAUACAGUACCUUAAUGAUAAACACAAAUCUCAGCGUAAUAUCUGAUAGGGGCCCUAUAUGGGUCCUCGAUAUUAACUUUAUUUUUGCAGCCAGGUGGGCAACUCCGGGCUUGCCCGGAACCUGCCAGGGUCGGCCCUGUAUUGCAGUACAGCAGGGAUCGGCCCAGUUCCU
This 180-nucleotide small nuclear RNA is filed under the name Ixodes scapularis (black-legged tick). RNAcentral describes it as "U2 spliceosomal RNA". It matches the Rfam family "U2 spliceosomal RNA". From Rfam's summary of the family: U2 is a small nuclear RNA (snRNA) component of the spliceosome (involved in pre-mRNA splicing). Complementary binding between U2 snRNA (in an area lying towards the 5' end but 3' to hairpin I) and the branchpoint sequence (BPS) of the intron results the bulging out of an unpaired adenosine, on the BPS, which initiates a nucleophilic attack at the intronic 5' splice site, thus starting the first of two transesterification reactions that mediate splicing. The record is from Rfam by way of RNAcentral. Lineage: Eukaryota; Metazoa; Arthropoda; Arachnida; Ixodida; Ixodidae.